GCUGGGUGUGGUGGCCGGCACCUGUAAUCCCAGCUACUUGGGAGGCUGAGGCAGGAGAAUCACUUGAACCCAGGAGGCAGAGGUUGCAGUGAGCUGAGAUCACACCACUGCACUCCAGCCUGGGUGACAGAGUGAGAUUCUGUCUCAA
Molecule: small RNA, 148 nt
Filed under: Macaca fascicularis (crab-eating macaque)
Lineage: Eukaryota; Metazoa; Chordata; Mammalia; Primates; Cercopithecidae
Description: Metazoan signal recognition particle RNA (ENSMFAG00000064264.1)
Rfam family: Metazoan signal recognition particle RNA
About the family: The signal recognition particle (SRP) is a universally conserved ribonucleoprotein. It is involved in the co-translational targeting of proteins to membranes.
Source: Rfam by way of RNAcentral